RNAcentral lists this long non-coding RNA (223 nucleotides) under Physcomitrium patens. RNAcentral describes it as "long non-coding RNA (PPAT_LNC014166)". Lineage: Eukaryota; Viridiplantae; Streptophyta; Bryopsida; Funariales; Funariaceae. The record is from RNAcentral.
AAGCAGUCAUAUAUGUAUAUUUUGAGAGAUUAGUUGUGAGUACUUGCUUGUGUUAGAAUAUAAUGGUGAUUGAGAAGACUAAGAGGCAAUUGAAUAGGGAGGAGAAAUAGCACAAUGUAAGGCGCAAGGAUGAGUUACCACCAUUGGGGUGUAUUAUUGUGACUAACAUGGAGCCGAUCCGAUUGGAUGUUUGUUGGACUAAGGAAAAGUAGCAAGAUUUUCG